Molecule: ribosomal RNA, 486 nt
Filed under: uncultured bacterium
Lineage: Bacteria
Description: partial 16S ribosomal RNA
Rfam family: Bacterial small subunit ribosomal RNA
Source: RNAcentral
AUUGAACGCUGGCGGCAUGCCUUACACAUGCAAGUCGAACGGCAGCACGGGUGCUUGCACCUGGUGGCGAGUGGCGAACGGGUGAGUAAUACAUCGGAACAUGUCCUGUAGUGGGGGAUAGCCCGGCGAAAGCCGGAUUAAUACCGCAUACGAUCUACGGAUGAAAGCGGGGGACCUUCGGGCCUCGCGCUAUCGGGUUGGCCGAUCGCUGAUUAGCUAGUUGGUGGGGUCAAGGCCUACCAAGGCGACGAUCAGUAGCUGGUCUGAGAGGACGACCAGCCACACUGGGACUGAGACACAGCCCAGACUCCUACGGGAGGCAGCAGUGGGGAAUUUUGGACAAUGGGCGAAAGCCUGAUCCAGCAAUGCCGCGUGUGUGAAGAAGGCCUUCGGGUUGUAAAGCACUUUUGUCCGGAAAGAAAUCCUUGGCUCUAAUACAGUCGGGGGAUGACGGUACCGGAAGAAUAAGCACCGGCUAACUACGUG